RNAcentral lists this transfer-messenger RNA (381 nucleotides) under uncultured Buttiauxella sp. It matches the Rfam family "transfer-messenger RNA". From Rfam's summary of the family: Bacterial tmRNA, also known as 10Sa RNA or SsrA, is named for its dual tRNA and mRNA-like properties. Its role is to liberate the mRNA from a stalled ribosome. The record is from RNAcentral. Lineage: Bacteria; Pseudomonadati; Pseudomonadota; Gammaproteobacteria; Enterobacterales; Enterobacteriaceae.
GGGGCUGAUUCUGGAUUCGACGGGAUUUGCGAAACCCAAGGUGCAUGCCGAGGGGCGGUUGGCCUCGUAAAAAGCCGCAAAAAAAUAGUCGCAAACGACGAAAACAUCACACCUGCUGCUUUAGCAGCUUAAUCAGCCUAAGAAACUGAAGGUGUCCUCUCUCCCUAGCCUCCGCUCUUAGGACGGGGAUCAAGAGAGGUCAAACCCAAAAGAGAUCGUGUGGAUGCCCUGCCUGGGGUUGAAGCAUUAAAUCCAAUCAGGCUAGUUUGGUAAUGGCGUGUCUGUCCGCAGUUGCCCGGCGAAUGUAAAGAUAUGACUAAGCAUGUAGUGCCGACGGUCUAGGAAUUCCGGACGCGGGUUCAACUCCCGCCAGCUCCACCA